CUAGUGAGCUUCGCCGCAUUUCAUCCAUGGGAACGUGAUCUACUACCUCUGCCUGAUACAUCCGUGUCUUUGAAAUCUCAUUUCGCACAGGUCGAACACCCUGCGUCGAGCUCGUCGUCGCUCCCGACGUCCAGAGCGCCGCCUUGCGUCGCAUCGCCGUUCCCGUCCAUCCGGUGGAUCUCUGGCCGAGCCACUGCGCCAACGACGUCGCCUAGGUCCAGGGAGAAAGACGCCCAGGAAGAUCGAAGCCAAUACACCGCCGUUGAGGAGAUCGAACUCUUCUUCCACAAGUCCGGCCGCCGGAUAUCGUCGUCGAAUCCUUGCAUCCGAGCCGAAGCAUGGGGAGUGGUCGUCGCCGUCGCUCUGCCAUUCUUUGCCGCCACCGGAGUACUUCUAAGGUCGCCAUCACCGUCCAUCCAUCACCGACCCACAGGCGAUAUUCCACUAGUGGUCACCGCCGCUCGCGCUGCCUCCGGCCAUCUCCGGCGACAAGAUGAACAUCGUCAGGUGCGCAAGAGCCUGGCACACUUUUCUCCUUUUGGGUGCGACGUCGGACUCGCCGCCGUUCGCCGCCAACGUCGACGUCAAGCCCGCCGGCCGGUGAAGCUUGUUAGAGUAUAUGGUAGUUAGAGUUAUAUUAGGAUAGGAUU
This 650-nucleotide long non-coding RNA is filed under the name Oryza sativa Indica Group (long-grained rice). RNAcentral describes it as "lncRNA OsKYG_06g0014340". The record is from RNAcentral. Lineage: Eukaryota; Viridiplantae; Streptophyta; Magnoliopsida; Poales; Poaceae. RNAcentral also lists the same sequence under 1 other name.